RNAcentral lists this long non-coding RNA (4200 nucleotides) under Anas zonorhyncha (Eastern spot-billed duck). RNAcentral describes it as "lncRNA (ENSAZOG00000019215.1)". Lineage: Eukaryota; Metazoa; Chordata; Aves; Anseriformes; Anatidae. The record is from RNAcentral.
AUGGUCCCCUGGGGCAGAGGAGGAGGAUGGUGGCUGGGGGGCAGAGGGAACAUGAGGCUGAGAUGGGGGGGGCAGCAAGCGGGCAGCCCCAGGACGCAGUGGCAGUGGCAGGCAGGGCGGUGGGAGCUGGAGGUGUUGGCCAGGAGGCUGCUGAGAAGAAGCAGCACCAUGAGCAGCGUUCCGCACUGCCAGAGACACCCUGGAGCCCAGGAAAUUCCUCGGCUGUUUCUCAAAUCCCAAGGUGCGCCCCAAAGCCCGGCUGGAGUCAGAAAGGGCUGGCAGGUUCGUGGGGGUGGGUGCCAACCCCCAUGGGGCAAGGAAGCAAAGCGUGGUCCCUCUGCACCCCCUCCAAGGGGCUGGCAGCUCCUCCGGGCACGAAAGGCACAGGGAUUGAGGAGGGGGCUGCCCGGAGAGGGGUCCCAUCGGGAGGAAGGGCAGCAGCCCCCUAAAUUCAGCACCACGCAGACCCUUCCCCAAGCCUCCGGGCAGCUGGAGCCGUGGCGGAGAAGCAGGCUUCGUGCAAAGCCGGCCAAGAAGUUAGUCGGAGCAGAGGCAUGCGUAAACAUUUGGUUUCACCGAGGGCUCCGGGCGAACACAGUGUACCCUGGCUCCACGCAGCGGGAACAGCUGUGGCCCUGCGGGGCCUGGAGGCACCAAACCACGGUGGCAGAGCGACCUCCUGCGGCACGGCCACGGCCGGGGGCACCCCAAAACAUCCUCGGUCCCCGGGAGCCCCCCAAAACAUCCUCGGCCCCCGGGGACAGGGCGCGACGCCGGUGCCAGGCGGAUCCGCGCCCCUGCGGAGCCCCAGCCAAAUUCUGGCGAAGGGGGCUGGCAGCUGGGGUGCCUCUGCCCGAGAGCUGUUAGCAGUGGUUAAGCAAACGAUGCGGCAAACAACCCAAAUAUUGCCUCGCCUCGCUUGUGGCCGGCUGCAGUUUGGAUUUCCAAGAACGGAAGCAGCCCGGGGCAUGCUGCCGCGCCGGCAAGCGCAGCCCCUCAUAGGGGAGAGGGAGCUGAAACCCAGUCCUUGCUCCCUCAGGUGGGGAAUCUGACAAAAUAAAAAUAUAAAAAUAAAAAUAAAAAUAAAAAAGCCACUCACUGCACCUCUAGAUGCUCCAGAGCACAGCACCAGCCGAGCCCUGGGCUUCCCUCUCUGCAUCAACAGCGGGACCACCGCCAGCUGGGGAUGCGCAACCCCACACAGACACCAAAACGCCACAGCCACAGCCCAAAACCACUCCCAGCAUGGCCACAGAGCACAAGGUGCUGACAGGAAAACUCCUCCACCUCAGGGGAACCGCAGGGCUUGUGCCCAUGCUGCCAGCAAAGGGGGUUCCCAGACCAUUCCAGGGACUGCGUGGACCAAGGGAUGUCCCCGAGGUUUACCCGUGCUCCUUGCCCAACCCACCCCAAAACCCAGGAGUGGAGGGGCCAGGGGCUGGUGGGGGGCACCCCACAGCCCCCAGCUGUCUCCGCUGAAGCUAAGGACAGCCUGCACUGCAGGUCAGCUGCGGGACGGUGACUUUGGACAGGUACCCGCGUGCUCUCCAGCUGGUAUUUCGGAAAGCUUCCCGGGUUCCUGCACCCGUUUCUCAGCAGGCCCUCCCCCUGACAACAGGCAGAAGUUCCUGCGAAGCCUGCUCAGCUCGGGUGCGAGGUUCCUGGAGCUAUUUCGGAGAAUUUCUCUGAAACCCCUGUGUGCUGCACCCUGGUUAUUCAACAGCCACACAGCACAGCAGGCGGGCUGGCUCCUGGCAAGCGCUCAAGAAGACAGAUAAUGGAAACGCAGAGCACAGCAUCGCUCAGUGGUGGAUCUGAUUAAUGGCAGGCUCGGAGGAACCUCAAACUUGGUGGGUUGGGUUUCUGUAUCAUUAUUACUAUUUGUUUUUGUUUUCUGGGAAAUAAAGUGUCUGAGGUGUUGUGUUUCAGGCUGAGCAUUUAAAUGUCCCUCCUCUCUUCCCCCACCCCAGCAACGUUCUGCGCAAACCAGUUUUCUCCUGAAGCUUUACAUAUAUGUUUUGAAUGACUCAUUUUGCAAAGAAUUGUACUCCCAGGAUUAUUUUUUUUUCUUAUUUUAAUUUCCUGAAAGCCUUUUCUUUUUCUGCCCUGGAGAAAAGACCCAGAGCGGCUCGGUGAGCUCGGUGAAGGUCACCAGAACACAGCACCAUCCAUCAGCGCACGCCUCUCUGCUUCCCACCAGCCUCGAGCUCUGCUGCUGAGCUUACUGCAUGGUUUCUUGGCCAAUUAGUGUUACAACAUACAUACAUGCAACAAGCAGAACCACGCCAGCUUUCCACACGUUCUUGCCAAUCGCUCUUGUCUUUUUAAGCCUUUGUUAAUGCUGAAAUGUCUGGUGAUAAUGACAGGCCUAAGUCCCAGGGUUGCAAGACCCUGAAUCAUGCUUUUCUUCUCCUUAGCUGGGGGACAGCUUUGGAUGUGUGAGCUUCACUGCUUAUUUCCAACCUCCUUGCUCUCGGCUGCUUGUUUUUUAAUCAGCUUGGAAUUAACUGGCUUAUGGGGUGUUGCUUGCUUGUUGGGUUGAUUAUGGCCAUUGAAAAGCAGUCUUAAUUUUGAUCUUAGGCGUCCUGGUACUUUAUUUCUACAGCACCUUCUAUCUCAUCUUUCCAUUUUUCAUGGAAAUGAAGUUCCUCUGGGAUACCAUGAAUUAUGGUAGCUGUUCUUUUGGCUUUGCUCCCAGAAAGCUCGUCCUAGUGAGAAGCAGCACUAGCUGCGAUCUGGGGCAGCACUGGCACACAGCGUGAUUAGCGGGGACACGGGGCACUGGUGCCAAGUGACCGGGUAUGAAUUUCAAAGCUGUUCUUGAAGAUGACGAAGAUGAAGGGAGACACUUUGCACAGCAAACAACACCAAAGCUGGGCUGCCUAAGGAAGAGCAGCAAAGGGAGCGGAGACCUUGGGCAGAAGAGAUUUUGCUCUUACCCCUCUCUGCCAACAUUUGGCUAGGACUUGAGGGGGAACGGCAAAUUUGCCAGAAAAAUGACAAGAGCAGCACUGGGACGGUGAUUAGGAGGGGCAUUCUCUCCAUCUCCUUCCUGGGGAUGGAUGCACGUCAGUGCUCUCACUCUGGCAGAAGCCUGUGGGGCUGACCCAGGCUCCCCCAAGCUCCGAAGUUGCCUUCUCAUUGCUAGCUCCACCUCAGCAACACGAAGGUGCCAGAUUUCACGGGCCAAGUGUUAACAAGUCCUGGCUUACCGUUUCUUCUAAGCAGGUGACUUUGGGGCUUUGCUAACCCACGAUUACACAGAGACGCAGACACGAGGAAACCUUUCUAAUCCGCCCCUGUCGUAAUCUGAGGGCGUGUAGGUGCUUAGAUAUUGCAGGGGAAAGUGCAAAGACUACCUGAGGACCUAGAUAAGGCCACCUGUGCGGGUGUUUCAGCAAUGUCAGGGCGCACGGAGUGGUUCCCUGCUGCUGCACUGCCGGAGGCACACACAGGGACACGGAGCGUGGCGGGGGACCCGUGCCAGCGCGCGGUCAGGGCAGACCUGCCAGGGGAAAAAAAAAUAAAGAGAUUGGGUUAUUAAAAUCACCAGGGGACAAAAAAAAAAUGUCCCAUCUCCACGUGGGACAAAGAGACUCCCCCGCCUUUUACAGGGAAAGCAAUCUCUUUGAUAACAGCUGUAUAUAUAUAUAUAAUAAUAAUAAUAAAAAAACCACUCUAUCGUGAUGACUUGGCUUUGAUGCUAGGCUUGUUUCCACAGGGCAGAGGUUGCUCCGGCAUCCUCGUGGAGCAUGCACGCCCCAAGUGACUCCCACAAACAGGCUGGCUUCGCAGGCACAAAAAAAAACUUCAAAACAGCCAAAAAACCGAGAUUUUGGGUCAGGAUUUUGGUCCGGGGGGCGGCAGGGGGGUCUCCAAAACCCUUUAGCUUCAACUUAUUUAUUCCUUCCCCACACCCCCAGCUCCCUCAGCGCUCUCCUUGGAGGCGAUGACCCCCCCCGUUCCCCGGGACCGCCCCGCUUCCUGGCGGCCAUUUUGCCGCGGCGCUGCGAGCCCGGCGCCUUACGCCGGCUGCGUACCCUACGCCGCCUCCGCAGCGCUCCGCACCGUUACCGCGGCAACCGCGCCCUCCUUCGGGCGGUGGCUCCGCUGUUUACGUAGCUUCCCCGCCCGCACUUGGCGUACUUGGGUCACUAGGGGCACUAGGAGCACUUGGUGCACUUGGAGCACUUGGAGCCC